UUUUAUGAUGAGUUUAUAGGG
RNAcentral lists this non-coding RNA (21 nucleotides) under Arabidopsis thaliana (thale cress). The record is from RNAcentral. Lineage: Eukaryota; Viridiplantae; Streptophyta; Magnoliopsida; Brassicales; Brassicaceae.